This is a long non-coding RNA of Thalassophryne amazonica, 103 nucleotides long. RefSeq lists it as uncharacterized. The record is from RefSeq and is a predicted model, not a curated record. The transcript has 4 exons. NCBI's taxonomy places the organism in Eukaryota, Metazoa, Chordata, Actinopteri, Batrachoidiformes, Batrachoididae.
UUGGCAAAAAGUUGUACUAUGGCUCCUCCGAGGGGCUGGUGAGUGCUGGCGUCGCUUAGGUGAAUUUUCAGAGUUACCUCUUCAGAGGUUAUAGCUUCCUUCA